This 371-nucleotide ribosomal RNA is filed under the name uncultured bacterium. Its description in RNAcentral is "bacterial SSU rRNA". It matches the Rfam family "Bacterial small subunit ribosomal RNA", at positions 525 to 896 of the family's 1533-position model. The record is from RNAcentral.
ACGUAGGGUGCGAGCGUUAAUCGGAAUUACUGGGCGUAAAGGGUGCGCAGGCGGAUAUAUAAGUUAGAUGUGAAAUACCUGGGCUUAACCUAGGAACGGCAUUUAAUACUGUAUAUCUAGAGUUUGUCAGAGGGUGGUAGAAUUCCAAGUGUAGCAGUGAAAUGCGUAGAGAUUUGGAGGAAUACCGGUGGCGAAGGCGGCCACCUGGGAUAAAACUGACGCUCAUGCACGAAAGCGUGGGGAGCAAACAGGAUUAGAUACCCUGGUAGUCCACGCCCUAAACGAUGUCUACUUGCUGUUGGGGGGUAAGAUCCUUAGUAGCGAAGCUAACGCGAGAAGUAGACCGCCUGGGGAGUACGGUCGCAAGAUUA